CUUGAAGAUCUUGUUACAGGACCUAUAAAGUCAAUUUGAAUAUCAGACCAGGGUAAUGACACCCCCCUCUUCUGAAGUGGUGCACGAUGGGUUGGACCAUGGGGUUGAUAUUGCAGACAAAUCAAGCAUCCCUGACAGUAUGUCUUAACAUCUCUUAACAUGUGUGGCCAAUAUGCAUAAUCACGCAAUCUCUCAUAUGUGAUCUUAUCACCACGAUGCCCAGAUGUAGGUGCAUCAUGUGCGUGUUGGAGCAUUAACCCUCUGUAUACAGUUGGGACUACCCAUUGUUGUAUACCAUGUUUAGAAGUUCUGACCAGCAACCCAUCCAUGAUACUAAAUUGGACUUUAUAUCUCAUCAAGAUUCGUAAAUCUUCAUUAUCAUUGCAAUCCUCAUCUGUGAUGGAAUUGGCAGUAGGGUCUUCUAUAUGUCUAUAGAAUAUGCCUAUGACGGGAUCGGUCUUUUGACUGGUAAUCAGGUCCUCACUAGGAGUUUCUUGACUCCAUUGCACGACGUUUAAGUCGGCAUUAUCUCUAGCCUGUCGUCUAGUUAUGGCUUCAACAUGAAUUGAACCCAUAAGAUUAUCAAUGUUUAGGGUUUCACCAUUGAAGGCAGCUUGUUUUGCCAGUGAAUCGGCUAAGUCAUUACCAUCCUUGUCAAUACCUUCUAUUUUAGAAUGGCCUUUGGUUUUCUUCCAAUAUAUGGUUAAACCAUUUUCCUUAACCAGUUCAUCAAUUUUACAAAACAAUUCCCCAUGUUUAACAGGUUUGUUAUUGCUUUUCAGCAUUUGGUUACGUUUCCAGCUAGGCAAAUAUUCUACAAAACUGUUGCGAACAUAGUUGGAAUCAGUUAUGAUAAAUUAUUUUGAUACCAUAUUCUAUUGCCAUUUGAAUGGUCUUAUAUACUGCACAGAGUUCGGCUAUCUGACUGAUUUUGGGACCAAUAUUGUAUCCUAUAGAUACAUUGGGAUAAUCACCUGUCCAGGCGAUUCUGAUACCUGCAACUAACUUCCGUUCAGCACCAGCGGCGUGGUGAUAUGAACAACCAUCAAUGUAUACCCACGGUAGUGGUCGACAGUAUUCCUCUUCAUAAACUUUAUAAGAGGAUAGCAAUUGCUCUUCUAGGAAGUCAUCUCCGGUGUCAUUAUCAUCCAGAGAUGGAGCAGUACGGUCAUGUAAUUCUGCUAAACCUUGGGCAACUGGGCUUCUCUUAUUAUGUUUAUAACGGACUUCUAGCGGCCAUCCCUGUAAGGAUAGAGUCCAUGCAGUAAUCCGACUGUUCGAGAGAUUACCGUCUCUGGUUCUUUCACUCUGCAGAUACUGUAGAGGUUGGUGAGCUGUUUCUACAAUUAUUUUCUCACCUUG
Pelobates cultripes (western spadefoot toad) is the source of this 1362-nucleotide non-coding RNA. Lineage: Eukaryota; Metazoa; Chordata; Amphibia; Anura; Pelobatidae. The record is from the annotation of a GenBank genome assembly.